ACGGGGAAGCUUGCUUCCCCGGGCGUCGACCGGCGCACGGGUGAGUAACGCGUAUCCAACCUGCCUCUGACUGAGGGAUAACCCGUCGAAAGUCGGCCUAAUACCUCAUGGCAUCGUCUGCGGGCAUCCAACGACGAUUAAAGAUUUCAUCGGUCAGGGAUGGGGAUGCGUCUGAUUAGCUAGUUGGCGGGGUAACGGCCCACCAAGGCUACGAUCAGUAGGGGUUCUGAGAGGAAGGUCCCCCACAUUGGAACUGAGACACGGUCCAAACUCCUACGGGAGGCAGCAGUGAGGAAUAUUGGUCAAUGGGCGAGAGCCUGAACCAGCCAAGUAGCGUGCAGGAAGACGGCCCUAUGGGUUGUAAACUGCUUUUAUGCGGGGAUAAAGUGAGGGACGUGUCCUUCAUUGCAGGUACCGCAUGAAUAAGGACCGGCUAAUUCCGUGCCAGCAGCCGCGGUAAUACGGAAGGUCCGGGCGUUAUCCGGAUUUAUUGGGUUUAAAGGGAGCGUAGGCCGUGGAUUAAGCGUGUUGUGAAAUGCAGGUGCUCAACGUCUGCACUGCAGCGCGAACUGGUCCACUAGAGUGUGCACAACGCAGGCGGAAUUCGUCGUGUAGCGGUGAAUGCUUAGAUAUGACGAAGAACUCCGAUUGCGAAGGCAGCU
This 662-nucleotide ribosomal RNA is filed under the name uncultured Bacteroidales bacterium. Its description in RNAcentral is "bacterial SSU rRNA". It matches the Rfam family "Bacterial small subunit ribosomal RNA", at positions 70 to 726 of the family's 1533-position model. The record is from RNAcentral. Lineage: Bacteria; Pseudomonadati; Bacteroidota; Bacteroidia; Bacteroidales.